RNAcentral lists this transfer RNA (99 nucleotides) under Mycetomoellerius zeteki. Its description in RNAcentral is "Trachymyrmex zeteki tRNA". It matches the Rfam family "tRNA". Rfam says of the family: Transfer RNA (tRNA) molecules are approximately 80 nucleotides in length. Their secondary structure includes four short double-helical elements and three loops (D, anti-codon, and T loops). Lineage: Eukaryota; Metazoa; Arthropoda; Insecta; Hymenoptera; Formicidae. The record is from Rfam by way of RNAcentral.
CCUUCGAUAGCUCAGUUGGUAGAGCGGUGGACUGUAGAGGUUUAGAAGCUCCCUUCGGAAGAAAUCCAUAGGUCGCUGGUUCAAAUCCGGCUCGAAGGA